CUUGAAACACGGACCAAGGAGUCUAGCAUGUGCGCAAGUCAUUGGGACUAGCGAAACCUAAAGGCAAAAUGAAAGUGAAGGCGCGCCUUGCGCGCGCCUAGGGAGGAUGGGCCGCGACACGUCGCGGCCCCGCACUCCCGGGGCGUUUCGUUCUCAUUGCGAGAUGAGGCGCACCCAGAGCGUACACGCUGGGACCCGAAAGAUGGUGAACUAUGCCUGGUCAGGACGAAGUCAGGGGAAACCCUGAUGGAGGUCCGUAGCGAUUCUGACGUGCAAAUCGAUCGUCGGAACUGGGUAUAGGGGCGAAAGACUAAUCGAACCAUCUAGUAGCUGGUUCCCUCCGAAGUUUCCCUCAGGAUAGCUGGCGCUCGCUUUGCGAGUCUCAUCCGGUAAAGCGAAUGAUUAGAGGCAUUGGGGUCGAAACGGCCUCAACCUAUUCUCAAACUUUAAAUGGGUGAGAUCUCCGGCUUGCUUGAAAAGUGAAGCCGCGAGAUAUAUUUAUUCGGAUCAGAGUGCCAAGUGGGCCAUUUUUGGUAAGCAGAACUGGCGCUGUGGGAUGAACCAAACGCUGAGUUAAAGCGCCUAAAUCGACGCUUAUGGGAUACCAUGAAAGGCGUUGGUAACUUAAGACAGCAGGACG
This 640-nucleotide ribosomal RNA is filed under the name Stethelmis sp. 2 MF-2023a. Its description in RNAcentral is "partial large subunit ribosomal RNA". It matches the Rfam family "Eukaryotic large subunit ribosomal RNA", at positions 653 to 1247 of the family's 3401-position model. Lineage: Eukaryota; Metazoa; Arthropoda; Insecta; Coleoptera; Elmidae. The record is from RNAcentral.